Molecule: long non-coding RNA, 396 nt
Organism: Pan paniscus (pygmy chimpanzee)
Lineage: Eukaryota; Metazoa; Chordata; Mammalia; Primates; Hominidae
Source: Ensembl
GGAAUUGUGAUUAUGACAUCAUAGACAGUUCAGCUGCUUGCACUGGGGGAAAGGGAGAGUAUCAUGGUUACAGCUGGAUCACCUAAGGCAGAGAGGGAAGGAACCAACAGGUAUAUGAAGAAGACUGUAUUUCCUCCUCAGGAAGAAAAAAUCACCUAUAAGAUCCAUGGCUAUAACUGCUACCAAGCUCUGGGCUGCAGUAGUGUAUCAUCCAUAACGCAAAUAAGAAUACAACAUAUAGCAUUGAUACAAAGGAUGCACUAAAGGAUGGGCACAAAUGAAGGAACUGAGACAUGAAUUUGUUCUUAAGGAAAUUAUUCUCCAUUCUUUGAGAAGUCAACUGAAUAGGACGAAGAAACUGCUCUAUGUUAUCAAGUUUUUAAAUUUUGUAUUUAC